This 1443-nucleotide ribosomal RNA is filed under the name uncultured Ralstonia sp. RNAcentral's name for it is "bacterial SSU rRNA". It matches the Rfam family "Bacterial small subunit ribosomal RNA". Lineage: Bacteria; Pseudomonadati; Pseudomonadota; Betaproteobacteria; Burkholderiales; Burkholderiaceae. The record is from RNAcentral.
CAUGGCUCAGAUUGAACGCUGGCGGCAUGCCUUACACAUGCAAGUCGAACGGCAGCAUGAUCUAGCUUGCUAGAUUGAUGGCGAGUGGCGAACGGGUGAGUAAUACAUCGGAACGUGCCCUGUAGUGGGGGAUAACUAGUCGAAAGAUUAGCUAAUACCGCAUACGACCUGAGGGUGAAAGUGGGGGACCGCAAGGCCUCAUGCUAUAGGAGCGGCCGAUGUCUGAUUAGCUAGUUGGUGAGGUAAAGGCUCACCAAGGCGACGAUCAGUAGCUGGUCUGAGAGGACGAUCAGCCACACUGGGACUGAGACACGGCCCAGACUCCUACGGGAGGCAGCAGUGGGGAAUUUUGGACAAUGGGGGCAACCCUGAUCCAGCAAUGCCGCGUGUGUGAAGAAGGCCUUCGGGUUGUAAAGCACUUUUGUCCGGAAAGAAAUCGCACUUACUAAUAUUAGGUGUGGAUGACGGUACCGGAAGAAUAAGGACCGGCUAACUACGUGCCAGCAGCCGCGGUAAUACGUAGGGUCCAAGCGUUAAUCGGAAUUACUGGGCGUAAAGCGUGCGCAGGCGGUUGUGCAAGACCGAUGUGAAAUCCCCGGGCUUAACCUGGGAAUUGCAUUGGUGACUGCACGGCUAGAGUGUGUCAGAGGGGGGUAGAAUUCCACGUGUAGCAGUGAAAUGCGUAGAGAUGUGGAGGAUACCGAUGNCGAANGCAGCCCCCUGGGAUACACUGACGCUCAUGCACGAAAGCGUGGGAGCAAACAGGAUUAGAUACCCUGGUAGUCCACGCCCUAAACGAUGUCAACUAGUUGUUGGGGAUUCAUUUCCUUAGUAACGUAGCUAACGCGUGAAGUUGACCGCCUGGGGAGUACGGUCGCAAGAUUAAAACUCAAAGGAAUUGACGGGGACCCGCACAAGCGGUGGAUGAUGUGGAUUAAUUCGAUGCAACGCGAAAAACCUUACCUACCCUUGACAUGCCACUAACGAAGCAGAGAUGCAUUAGGUGCUCGAAAGAGAAAGUGGACACAGGUGCUGCAUGGCUGUCGUCAGCUCGUGUCGUGAGAUGUUGGGUUAAGUCCCGCAACGAGCGCAACCCUUGUCUCUAGUUGCUACGAAAGGGCACUCUAGAGAGACUGCCGGUGACAAACCGGAGGAAGGUGGGGAUGACGUCAAGUCCUCAUGGCCCUUAUGGGUAGGGCUUCACACGUCAUACAAUGGUGCAUACAGAGGGUUGCCAAGCCACGAGGUGGAGCUAAUCCCAGAAAAUGCAUCGUAGUCCGGAUCGUAGUCUGCAACUCGACUACGUGAAGCUGGAAUCGCUAGUAAUCGCGGAUCAGCAUGCCGCGGUGAAUACGUUCCCGGGUCUUGUACACACCGCCCGUCACACCAUGGGAGUGGGUUUUGCCAGAAGUAGUUAGCCUGACCGCAAGGGGGGCGAUUACC